Molecule: ribosomal RNA, 253 nt
Filed under: uncultured bacterium
Lineage: Bacteria
Description: partial 16S ribosomal RNA
Rfam family: Bacterial small subunit ribosomal RNA
Source: RNAcentral
UACGUAGGGGGCAAGCGUUGUCCGGAUUUAUUGGGCGUAAAGAGCGUGUAGGCGGUUAGGUAGGUCCGUUGUGAAAACUCGAGGCUCAACCUCGAGACGCCGAUGGAAACCAUCUGACUAGAGUCCGGAAGAGGAGAGUGGAAUUCCUGGUGUAGCGGUGAAAUGCGCAGAUAUCAGGAAGAACACCCGUGGCUAAGGCGGCUCUCUGGACCGAGACUGACGCUGAGGCGCGAAAGCGUGGGGAGCAAACAGG